Molecule: long non-coding RNA, 542 nt
Filed under: Danio rerio (zebrafish)
Lineage: Eukaryota; Metazoa; Chordata; Actinopteri; Cypriniformes; Danionidae
Description: lncRNA (ENSDARG00000117367.1)
Source: RNAcentral
CUGUACGCUUGCGCACCUGACCGGAUAAACAUGGCGGCCGAAUUGACGCAAUUGGUCGGUGCAACAGACCAACAAACCGAAAUGACUAAUGAGGAGUAAACAAGCGGAAGAUUUGUAGAAGGAUUCGAAAGAAAGAUGGCUGAGCCUAAGGAAAAGGUUAAGCGUUAUUUUACUGGAAAAAGAAGCGUUACAAAUGCUGACUUGCAUUAAUAAGCAUUCAUCGCUGGCGAGAUAAUACUUAUUGGAGGGCUUGAAAACGGUCGUGGGGAUUUUUUCAGCUUGACACAACAUUGACUCCACAUUGUUUUGUAAACAAGCCACAGUUUAAUGGAAGCUUGAAGUGAAAGAUGAAACAGUCAGCUGUACUGGAUCUGACAGCAAAUGCACUGCAAACUUGGGAGGACAGUUCGUUGAUGGCCAUGAGCAUCUCAGCUGGAGGUCGUGUCGAAAUUUCUCAUCUGUACCCAUGUGGAUAAUUCAUGCAUGAAUAAUGUGUGCUUAUUUAUUUCAAAGAAAAUAAAGUUGUAGUCUUUACUCUGGGG